RNAcentral lists this ribosomal RNA (1430 nucleotides) under metagenome. RNAcentral describes it as "bacterial SSU rRNA". It matches the Rfam family "Bacterial small subunit ribosomal RNA". The record is from RNAcentral.
AGGCAUGCAAGUCGAACGGUAAGGCCCUUCGGGGUACACGAGUGGCGAAAGGGUGAGUAACACGUGAGCAAUCUGCCUCAAAGUCGGGGAUAGCCGGUGGAAACGCCGAUUAAUACCGGAUGUGGUCCGAGAUUCGCAUGGAUCUUUGACUAAAGGAGUAAUUCGCUUUGAGAUGAGCUCGCGGUCCAUCAGCUAGUUGGUAGGGUAACGGCCUACCAAGGCUACGACGGAUAGGUGGCCUGAGAGGGUGGUCACCCACACUGGGACUGAGACACUGCCCAGACUCCUACGGGAGGCUGCAGUCGAGAAUCUUCCGCAAUGAGCGAAAGCUUGACGGAGCGACGCCGCGUGCAGGAUGACGGCCUUCGGGUUGUAAACUGCUGUCACCCGGGACGAAUUUUGUCGGUACCGGGAGAGGAAGCCACGGCUAACUACGUGCCAGCAGCCGCGGUAAUACGUAGGUGGCGAGCGUUAUUCGGAUUUAUUGGGCGUAAAGGGUUCGUAGGUGGUCGUAUAAGUCUGAUGUGAAAUCCAGCGGCUUAACCGCUGAACUGCAUUGGAUACUGUAUGACUUGAGUACCAGAGAGGUAAGUGGAAUUCCUGGUGUAGCGGUGGAAUGCGUAGAUAUCAGGAGGAACACCGAUGGCGAAGGCAGCUUACUGGCUGGUAACUGACACUGAGGAACGAAAGUUAGGGUAGCAAACAGGAUUAGAUACCCUGGUAGUCCUAACUGUAAACGGUGUGCACUAGAUAUAGGCGGAUUGGUCCCGUCUGUGUCCAAGCUAACGUGAUAAGUGCACCGCCUGGGGAGUACGGCCGCAAGGCUAAAACUCAAAGGAAUUGACGGGGGCCCGCACAAGCGGUGGAGCAUGUGGCUUAAUUCGAUUCUACGCGAAGAACCUUACCUGGGUUUGACAUAUACCUGACUGGUCUGGAAACAGGUCUUCCCUUCGGGGCAGGUAUACAGGUGCUGCAUGGCUGUCGUCAGCUCGUGCCGUGAGGUGUUCGGUUAAGUCCGGCAACGAGCGCAACCCGUGCCGUCAGUUACCAGCAGGUAAUGCUGGGUACUCUGACGGGACUGCCCGUGCUAAGCGGGAGGAAGGCGCGGACGACGUCAAGUCCGUAUGGCCCUUACAUCCAGGGCUGCACACGUGCUACAAUGGUCGGUACAGUGGGACGCCACCACGCGAGUGGGAGCCAAUCCUUAAAGCCGACCCCAGUUCGGAUUGUAGUCUGCAACUCGACUACAUGAAGUCGGAAUCGCUAGUAAAGGCGCAUCAGCUACGGCGCCUUGAAUACGUUCCCGGGCCUUGUACACACCGCCCGUCACAUCAUGGAAGCCCGUUGCACCCGAAGUCACUGACCCAACCCGCAAGGGAGGGAGGUGCCGAAGGUGUGGCUGGUGACUGGGAUGAAGUCGAAACAAGGUA